Long non-coding RNA from Gallus gallus (chicken), 8567 nucleotides. RefSeq lists it as uncharacterized. The transcript has 6 exons. NCBI's taxonomy places the organism in Eukaryota, Metazoa, Chordata, Aves, Galliformes, Phasianidae. The record is from RefSeq and is a predicted model, not a curated record.
GAGCAAACUGCUUCCCUGUCAGCGCGGUGCCGUUCCCACCCCAGUUCUCGUGUGAAACAGUUGUGAGUAGGUCCACAUCGCUCCUGGAAAUACACUGCUGAGGUAUUCAGCAAAAAGCAGAGCAUCCAACCUAAUUCUUCUCUCCUCUGAAUGUUUCUGUUCUCUUAUGCUGCCUAAAUGAGACAGGUGGAAGACAGCUUUAAUUAGGACUUGGCCAUAAAGCACCAGGAUGUUAUCAACAAGAUCACAUGCAAAGUGCAUCCCCUCAAAAUGAAAAGAGUACCCCUUUUCACGGGUGGAUGAAGAAAGAAAUAUGAACAGCAAGUCUGGCAAGAAAUGUGGCUGUCCCAGCUCGGGGGCAGAGCUGUGGCAUGGACUGCUGCUGCUCACAUAUCAGAACUAUCCAUGGCACAAAAAGCAGGAGCAUGAGCUAUCUGAUUUUAUGUGAAAUUCCUUUAGAUCCCAAUUUCUAAAAGCGCAAUCGGAUCGCUUGGUGCUGCAGAGUUUAAAGUAGGUGUGAAUGUGAAGGUUCCUUAGAGAAGGAAAGACACCUCAGUUGAACAGAACACAGGAAAACACCGAAAGGAGAAUUGAAGCAAAUGUCUUACUUGGUAAUAAUAGCGAUGAACUACAUUUAAAAACAUUUUUAAUUAUUAUUUGCAGGCUGGAAGCAUUUAACCUAUUACUGUUUAUAGAAGGAAGUUUUCAUAUUCUGUGGCAGAAUUUAAAUUAAAAUCCUCGCUAUGGUAUCAUUCUGAUAAUAAUUUAAUUCUGGGACUGUUGCCAUCGUGUAUUUAUAACACAGAAAUUUUUGCAACUGGAAGAGCUAUCCAUAGUAGUCAAUAGACUGAGUUACGCCUGUGAUAGUGCAGUUAUCUAUUACUUUAAUAUGCUAACUAGGAUUUCAGUGUAGCUGCUAGCAUGGAAAAUCUUUUAAAACACAGUAUAUUAACAAAGUGGAGGGAACAACCCUGCUUGUUCUUUUACACUGAAUAUUUUCAUGGUUUGACUUUAGAUAUUCCCCUGCUAAGAAAACUGCUGUUGUUUACAUAAUGCUGAACUUGGGUUACCCUGCAGGGAGUUCAUGACAUACAAGCCAAAUGUUUUAAUAAUUGUAACAACUAAAUUUGAUGGUGUUUAAUAUUCUUGCAUUCAUAAUGAAGCUUUGUUGACUGUUUAGUCUGUUAAUUCUUAUGUAAAAUGUUGCCUGCUGCGGUGGAACAAAAUACGCCUUCUUCCUUUGUAUUAAGAUCAAUGAAAAACAGCAUUUGAGGACAAUCUACAUCAGACCUAUUAUGAGUACUCUACAAAUUUGUAAAAUAUAAGAUGAUGUAUCUGUUAUUUUGGUGCUGUGUAGAACCAGCAAGUUAAUCUCUAAGUACAACAUUUAAACAGUAAGUACAAGAAAAGCAUUGAGAGAUUUUCAUUUGCAUACCUUUAGAGUCUGUUGAAAUUAAGGAACUGGCAACUACUGAAAUUCAGAAACUGGCAUUUUAUUUUAUUUAUUCUCUUUAUAUUUCUAUAUAUGUAUUAUUUUUUCUCUAUGUGUAUUUACUAUAUUUCAUUCUAUAACAUCUAAUUGCUGAAAUCCUAUCUUCUGCAUUACAUCAGUGAGCAGCUACAGCAGUACUUUGGGUUUUGGUGUUGUUUUGUUGUUCGUUUUUUUAUUAUGACAGCAGAUGAAUUGGUAAAUUGGUUAUCUAACAGCUGUUUUACAUUUUCAAUUUACCAGUCUUUGAUGAUGUCUUGUUUUGAAGAGUAUUUUCCAGACUAAGACACCAUACGAUCCCUCUGUAUUUCUGUAACAUGUAACUCGACCUUUUAAUUUGUUGCUAAUUACUCUUAAAUGGCUGUUUGCUGAGCAAGCUAAAGAAAUGUAGGAAGUCAUUCCACCUGUGGCAAAACUCAGAGCUCCUGUAGUAUAAUCAGUACCAGUUACGGUACUGAAUUAAAAAUGUUCAGAGGGAUAUUCUCACAAGUUAAGCUACUUUGGAGAGGAUGAAAUAUAGGUCAGAUAACCUGGUAGUAUAAGACUGACAGCGUAAUGCUAUGAAAGUGAAAUGUGAUUGUAAAUUCCCUUUUCGUUGCAGCUGCUAGUUGCUAGCACAGCCCACACCAGGAUUUAAGUGCAUGCACAGUCACUCUGGUGAGGAGGUGUAUGGGUAUGGGCUCAGACCUUUCCCUUGGCAGCCUCUGCACAUUGGCAUAAUUGUAUAGCUCCCUGCAGUGGCCAAAUCCGGAUGGUUGCCACAUGGCAUGUGUGCCUGAUUCCAGCUACACUUCAUCUCCUGCAUUCACAUGCAUUGCAGUGUUUCGGUAAAGAACCAGUCGAGCUAUCUGGCAGGAUAUUCCCAUUUCACUUCCAGAACAAAGCAUGCCACCUGGCACACAUGAACACCUGCCCCAGGGGAGCAGCUGAGCAACCACAUGUGGUGGGAGCUGUGUCCCUAAUCCCUCAAAACAUACCUAGAGACCAUGGCAAUAGAUGCAGUAUAAGAAAACAUGUCGAAUAAAAUUGCAUGAAAUACUGUCUGCUCCCCCAGAACUUCAUGGUUAUUUUGUUAUUGACUUCAAAUCCAUCUAGAAUUCUGCCCAUGCAAUUUCAAAGUAAUUGGAAUAAAGUCUUUUUCUUCUUUUUCUUCUAAAUGAAGGCUUUUGCUGUAUUUAACUACGUAAUUGUACUGGUUACCACUGUAGUAUCGGACUGAAGAAGGACUCCAAACUCAUGUUGCUGCUGAGUACAGAACCAGUCACCUCUCCAAGCCUCUUACGCCCUGUGAGAUUUUAUGGGUGUAUCUAAAACUUACCUGAUCAAAAUCUGCACUAAUAUAUUCAAAUGCCAUACAUCUCUGCAUCUGUGUCCACUGACCUCUUAUUUUUAGUCCUCACCAGUGUAGGUACAUAUGGAUUUUCUUAUUUAUUACCUUAAUUAAGUUUAUUAUAGCUCAAGAUAUGUUUAGCAAAUUGUAAUUACUAGUAUUUCUUUAUAUGUAACAGUAGUUUUCAUCAAUCUAUCUUUUCAUUUCCAAUUCCUCAGACAUGUUUCUGGCACUCCCUUAGAGUACAAAAUAUAAUUACAAGUCAUUUGGUAAUUUUAUUAGUCUAUUCUCAGAAGACUAUGGGAUCCAUAUCUUCUAGACUUGUUCAUCUUUAUAUAUUCUGUUUCUUCGUGUAUUCCCUUACCUGCCAGAUCACCAGAUAUAGUGACAUAAUCUUCAUUACUUAAUUAUAAUUAUUAGUCAAGGGGUUUCUACUCUACACAUACAGCUUCCAAACAAAAUGUCUUGAACAGAUAAGCAACAGGUUUAAAAAAUAAACCAUUUGACUCUGGGAAUAUUUUGUGCUGGCCAUCUAAGAGCAGUAAGAGAAUAAAUAGUCAUUCGUUAUCUGGAGAAUGCUGUGUAAUGAAUGACAGAAUAAAGGCUGUAGGUGAAUUUGUUGCUGAAUUAUAUUCACUCUUGAAUGCACUGCAAUUCAAAGUACUUUUUUUCCUUCACAGGUAUACGCAUGCAUAAUUUAUAUUAAUAUAAAAAAAAUGUUUAUAUGUUCCUUUUGUGGGCUGGGGGGUUUUCUUGGAGAGGAAAAAACAAAGGCGAGCGGGGAGGGGGCAAGCUUGAAGAUCCUGUGAAACCUAAUUUGCAAACAAUUUGCACUAGCAGCUGUAAAUUUCACUCCAGAGAUUUCCAGGUGCUUGGUGCACAUCUAUACAUGGAGAGCAGUUCCCAAGAGAUGAAGCUUGAUGGCUGCAUUAAAAUGAAUCAGAGGCCUUAUCUCAAUGCAGGGUAUUUGCAUAUCUCCUCUUCAUGAAUCCUUACUUCAUGGAUGUGUCUUCUGCUUUUGUGCUGCCCGCAGUUUUUUAAAAAGAAUGCAGAUGAAUAGGCUUUCUAUUAAUGAGUUGCAAUAAGAGCCUGCUGAAUUUCCUGACAUCCAUUUCAUGAUUGUACUUGUCUUUUAUAGAUGCGGUUCUUUAAUUGAGUUUACCAUACAUUUUAUAGCAUACUAGAAAUCAGAGUCCUUGAGCUACUGGCACCAUGCAUUCCUGCUGUGAGACAUCCACCAUCCACAUCCUCUCAGUUUACAUGGAAAAGAUGAGCGCUAUUUCAUUCUUUACCUUGGAAACUGGACUCAGUAAGAUUUGGGUUAUUUUUUUUCUCACAGUCGCUGAGAAUUACUGUGGCAUACUCAUAAUGUUAUCUCUCAAUUUAGCCUCCUGUCGAACAAGAUUGGUUUGUGCCAGCUCCUGGGGAAGUCCUGUCAGCAGCACUCCAAUCUUGAAUUAUUCUUGACCUCCCUUUCCUAUUUCCUUCUGGCAAAAUCUAAAUGCCACAGAUUGUCAAAGGUCUUACAGGCAGAAUGGGCCAUCCUGAGCAGAACUGUGUGUACUCAGAGUGAGAAUUUCACCUGGGUUUGUUUAAUGCGUCGUUGCAGUUGGCUGCAAACCAAAAGCUACGUGAUACCUUUCACUUCUCUGUGGUGCUGGUUGGAAGAGCAGAAAAUAAGUAACUAAUGAGCAGAACUCUAGAGCUCACUGGAAAGUUGCCGCAAUAUGUGGAGAUUUUAAUGGCCUUUCCUUUCUCAGGGACACCUUACCCCUCUGAGCAAGAGGUGCUGGGCUGGUGCCAAGCCCAGGGAAAGCCAGCAAAGUCCCUGCGAGCAGCAGCAAAGCUGAAAGUUGUCUCGGUUUUAUCUCUUCCCACAGGAGGAAAUUGCUAGACCAAGACAGGGAUUUGUUCCUGCUUUAUGUUCGUGUUCAGCCUGGGAAGCUGAAGUCUUCCAAGGAAGCAACCAAGUAUCAGCAAGCAGAUUCUGUUCCUUACUCCUGAGAAGCUAAAUCCAAAGAAAGAAAGACAAGAUUUUCUUCUGAGAUGUGGUGUGACUACAGGUUCUGCUAUUUGUUUAUGUUGUUCCACCAGUUUACAUAGUCACAGCUGCUUAUUUAGUACAUAGGUAAUCCUGUAGCAAAAUAAUGUUAACACAGUCAUUCUUAUGACACUUCUGGGUCUGGUAUUAAGGAUACCAACAGAGGAGUGAGGGUAUCCCCGUGCUUCUUGGUCUUUGCCUGCCACUGAGCUCCACAGUGCCAGAAGAGUUCAGCUGCCUUAGGUGAUGACAAUAAGGAAAGAACAUUUACUGCAGGUUGUAGGUACUCAUCUAAGCACUAUGUGGUGUGCUGUAAUUGCAGGCUGCAUUAGGUCAUGCUUUGUCACAAGGCUUAUUCCAAACAGAAGUCGCUUCCAUUGGAUUGUCCUUGCAGCAGCAACGUAAAUGAACAAGCUUGGGCAGCUUUGCCAGAAAUGUCUAAAACUAAAUAAUUAGUCAACAGCCAUUCAUGCAGCAUAUGACAGAAGUGCUAUUAUUGUCAGGGAGAGUACGGAGCCUGUGAGUACAACUCACCACUCAAUCUGAACAGUUAGUUGAACAUAACACGCUUGUAAUAAUAUUUAAAGCUUAAUAUCUGAUGCGUGUAUGAGAGUCCAAAUUCACAUGACAUACAAGAAAAAAACAACGACUAGUACAUGAGAGACAUGAAUUCCUUUUAAGUUAGCUAAGGAAAUUGGCAGGUAGUUCUUAAGAACUUGAUUGUAUACAAAUCCCUUUCUGCUGCUGGAAAUCCAGCAGCAAUGUUCAAACUUUAGGCAAAAGAGCUCACAAGCUGCCUACAGACCUGUAGUCCUCAGGUAAUAAAGGAGGGGGAAAGAGCCCUCACUUAUUCCAAGUGCUCUGCAGCAUUUUGAGAAGAAAAACGAAUGUGAAUCCUAAGGAUAGUGGGCCACAGUGCUGAUACAGCAUGCCCUACAGAAGUAAGUUGGGUGCAAGGCCAUGAUGAUGCAGCUACGCUGUCAUGGGUUCCAGACACACUCCCUUUGCAGUUAGCUGAGACAGUUAGCUGGACUGUUUUCCACUGCCCAGUGUACAAAAUGCCCAAUGUUUGUAUAGCCCUUAGCAAAAUAGGACCCUAUUCUUGAUUGGCCUCAAAACAGCACAGUGAUUCUAAUUAUAAAUACCAGGGAAAUAAAUGAUCACAGAAGGCAUUUGAUGUAUUUUUUCCAGCAUGCAACAGCAGUACCAAUACGUACAAGAGCACAAUGCAAUCAGAUUCUGAUGUAUGCAAUAUAUUUUUAACACAAUGGACUUCAUCCAGACUUUUCUGGCACCAUCUUCUAUUGUCUUUCAUCACUUUGCAGUGAAGUCAUGUAGGGUACUCCAGACUUGAGGUGGCUGUGGUCUAGUGCUGAGAUUAAUGCUGAAUAAAAAUCAAGUUAGUUAGUAGAGCUUAAAUAACUGUUAGGCAAAUGAAUAUUUGUUUGUGUAAAGAAACAACUGCUGAAUAGAUGAAGUAAGUCAUUUUUGUCUCUGUCUUCCUAUAGUGUGCUGCAAAAUAAAUGCAGAUCUGAGAGAGAGACCCACUUCUGCUGCUGCCCACUCCUUUCUACUUUAAUAUUGUAAAUAAAUGAUUUGGAAAAAAACAAUAUCAUAAAAUAAUAAUAAUUAGAAUUCCACUGAUGUCCCUUUUAUGAUAAUAUAUUUGAGUUGUUCUUCAAAAAUCAAAUGAAGAAACUUCAGCCACAGUAGAGGUCUUAACCAAAAUUAAAGUCUUGUACUGAAAAUAUCAGCAUUUCUUAUGAGCUCACCUGGAGGGAGAUUAUGGGGCAACAAGUAAUGAGAUGGGUAAAGGACUGCUAUUCUUACUUCAUUUGGCCAAGAUCUACUCAACAUCUUGGAUUGUCCUCGUUUUUGUUGUGUAUUAAAAUGGUGCUAAGUGAGCUCAAGCAGGGCUUGGUGUUACAGACACUGUGAGACUGUCUCCUGGCAUUUUACAGUCAGAGGAGGAGUAGAGAGAAAGGAAUGAACUGGAGAGAACUUUUACAAUGCUCAUAAAACUGAUGUUAGAUCUGUGGGUGGCAUUUGCUGACAGCAUAGUCUGAAGGGACAAACAAACCAAAGGCAGAAGUGGUGAGGAAGGGAAAUGAAGAGAAAAAAAAGAGCAAGGAUGGAAAGAAGGAAACACAUGGUAGGCAAUGAAGUAAAGGUGAAGUGGCUGUGAAUAGCUAAUCACUGAAAAGAAAACAGUGUUGAAAGUAGAAGUACAUGGGAAAAAGCAGCACACAGAUAGAAUCAGUGAGUUGCUGAUAAUUCUUAGUCAAGCUGCUUUGGUUGCUUCACAUGCCAGCCUUGAGCUUCAGGCAGAAGAACAAUUGACUGUUACGACAGUCUGGAUUUAGUUCAAGGUGAAUUACGUGUGCAAUUUCAGGAUAAUUUAUCUUCGCCUGCCUUAAAAUCCAAAAGAAAGACACCGCCAACUUUUGUUCUAGCUUAACUAUUAAUUCUAUUGAUAAAAUUUUGUUAGUCAUCUUCAGAUUUAAAAAAAAAUCCAUGCAGUCAUAGUUAGAAUUCUAUGUAUAUAGAUACGAUUUACUAGGCACUCUUCUGACACAGGGAAAAUGAUACCAUUCCCCUAAACAUCAAAGAGAUUAAGACAGACAGCUCUUGGCAGAGGCCAACAGAAGGAGCAGCAAAGUAGGAGUAAGAUUUUUUCUCGGAUAACUGUGCCAGGAAGGAAAUCUUUCAGUGUUAAAGUUCAUAGAUUUGGUGAGCUUGCAAAGGGGGCUACAUGGGAAGAUGUUGUUUGACAUCGUAAGCCUCUUGUCUGGACCUACUAACACAUUCUCCUCCCUGGAGUUGAAGAAUCCAGGUCACCUUGUAAGUAGGCAAACUGCUGCUGCAGAAGUUUCUCCUUAGGUCGUUACAUCAGUAUCUCACCUUUUGCUUGCCAAGCUUGUUUAGUACCGCGGCAGGAGUCUUCUGAAAGAGAUUGCUGUGCAUCUUUGAGGACAAUGUUAAAAUUAAGCAAAUGAUGCCAGAGGUUUGUGUUUUGCUCUCUGCUGCCAUGAAUGAUCAGCAUGGGCAUAUGAUAAAGGGUAACCACUUAUUUGUGUGAGUGACUGAAAGCAGUUUUGCCAACGGGGAUGUUUGGAACAGCAUUUAAUCUGAAAAGAUAAUUAAUGUCUUCUUUGUUGUGCAACAGAAGCCUAUGGAAAGAGAAUCAUAUUGCAUCAUAUCUCUCAAUAACAUACAACUGGGUGGCUGAAAUUGGGUUUAACUAGACAGACAAAAAUAACUUCGGGAGGAGCAGAGAAAGGUUAUGGGUCAUGUGAUGCUGAUUUGUUUGUUUAAAGUUGACCUAUCCCUGGAGCAGAGAGUUUAAUGGGUUCCAGUAAGGACUUGCACCCAGCAUGCAGAGCUGCAAUUACUGUGGGAUGGUUCGAAGUCUGUGUGUGUGUGUGAGGCCUGGGUCAUGUCUGUUCGUGGGGGCAGCAGUAGCUUUCGCAGAGACUACAGAUCAGACUUCCUGAGCAUCCUUCCACUGCCCUGUGAUUGACAAUCAAUAAAAAGAGACAUGAGAUACACUGGGUGAAAAACAGGGCAUCUGAGAUUUCACUGAAGUUGUUCAAACUUGCAAGUAGAAAAAGAAAAGGAGUUUGUUGGCUAAGACAUUCUGAAUACUUUUCUCAUUUGUAUAAACCUGUAUGUAUAAACCUGUAAAUAAAGGUUAUGUUUCCCUUAAA